ACGAACGCUGGCGGCAUGCCUAAUACAUGCAAGUCGAACGAGAUCUUCGGAUCUAGUGGCGCACGGGUGCGUAACGCGUGGGAAUCUACCCUUGGGUUCGGAAUAACAGUUGGAAACGACUGCUAAUACCGGAUGAUGACGUAAGUCCAAAGAUUUAUCGCCCAGGGAUGAGCCCGCGUAGGAUUAGCUAGUUGGUGGGGUAAAGGCCUACCAAGGCUACGAUCCUUAGCUGGUCUGAGAGGAUGAUCAGCCACACUGGGACUGAGACACGGCCCAGACUCCUACGGGAGGCAGCAGUAGGGAAUAUUGGACAAUGGGGGCAACCCUGAUCCAGCAAUGCCGCGUGAGUGAUGAAGGCCUUAGGGUUGUAAAGCUCUUUUACCCGAGAUGAUAAUGACAGUAUCGGGAGAAUAAGCUCCGGCUAACUCCGU
RNAcentral lists this ribosomal RNA (431 nucleotides) under uncultured bacterium. RNAcentral describes it as "bacterial SSU rRNA". It matches the Rfam family "Bacterial small subunit ribosomal RNA", at positions 29 to 506 of the family's 1533-position model. The record is from RNAcentral.